AGGGAGGAAGGUAGUGUAGUUAACACCUGCAUUAUUUGACGUUUACCUACAGAAGAAGCACCGGCUAACUCCGUGCCAGCAGCCGCGGUAAUACGGAGGGUGCGAGCGUUAAUCGGAAUUACUGGGCGUAAAGCGCAUGCAGGCGGCCUGUUAAGUCAGAUGUGAAAGCCCGGGGCGUUAACCUCGGAAUUGCAUUUGAAACUAGGCAGGCUAGAGUCUUGUAGAGGGGGGUAGGAAGUUUCAGGUGUAGCGGUGAAAUGCGUAGAGAUCUGAAGGAAUACCAGUGGCGAAGGCGGCCCCCUCGGACAAAGACUGACGCUCAGAUGCGAAAGCGUGGGGAGCAAACAGGAUUAGAUACCCUGGUAG
This 366-nucleotide ribosomal RNA is filed under the name uncultured bacterium. RNAcentral describes it as "bacterial SSU rRNA". It matches the Rfam family "Bacterial small subunit ribosomal RNA", at positions 441 to 793 of the family's 1533-position model. The record is from RNAcentral.